RNAcentral lists this ribosomal RNA (439 nucleotides) under uncultured bacterium. Its description in RNAcentral is "partial 16S ribosomal RNA". It matches the Rfam family "Bacterial small subunit ribosomal RNA", at positions 338 to 795 of the family's 1533-position model. The record is from RNAcentral.
CCUACGGGAGGCAGCAGUGGGGAAUAUUGCACAAUGGGCGAAAGCCUGAUGCAGCAACGCCGCGUGAGAGAUGAAGGCCUUCGGGUCGUAAAGCUCUGUCCUCCAGGAAGAAAAUGCCGGUACUUGAGGCGGAAGCCCCGGCUAACUACGUGCCAGCAGCCGCGGGAAUACGUAGGGGGCUAGCGUUAUCCCGAAUUACUGGGCGUAAAGGGGGCGUAGGUGGUUUCUUAAGUCAGAGGUGAAAGGCUACGGCUCAACCGUAGUAAGCCUUUGAAACUGGGGAACUUGAGUGCAGGAGAGGCGAGUGGAAUUCCUAUUGUAGCGGUGAAAUGCGUAGAUAUUAGGAGGAACACCAGUUGCGAAGGCGGCUCUCUGGACUGUAACUGACACUGAGGCACGAAAGCGUGGGGAGCAAACAGGAUUAGAUACCCUGGUAGUC